AAUAAAGACUAGUAUGAAAGGCAUCACGAGAACUAAACUGUCUCCCUUUUCUAAUCAGUGAACCUAAUCUCCCCGUGAAGAAGCGGGGAUUUUUUAAUAAGACGAGAAGACCCUAUGGAGCUUAAAAUAUCAUAACACCUGACACCCUUACCCCCCCCCCCAAGAUGAUUAUGUAUUUUUGGUUGGGGUGACCGCGGAGAAAAACCCAUCCUCCGCGAUAAAAGAGCCCCCCUCCCCAACAAGCUACAGCUUUAUGUAUUAGAAAACUAACCCAAUUGACCCAAUAUAUUGAUUAACGAAC
RNAcentral lists this ribosomal RNA (301 nucleotides) under Pristimantis gutturalis. Its description in RNAcentral is "partial large subunit ribosomal RNA". It matches the Rfam family "Archaeal large subunit ribosomal RNA", at positions 2056 to 2490 of the family's 2987-position model. Lineage: Eukaryota; Metazoa; Chordata; Amphibia; Anura; Strabomantidae. The record is from RNAcentral.